CCUACGGGAGGCAGCAGUGGGGAAUUUUGGACAAUGGGCGCAAGCCUGAUCCAGCCAUGCCGCGUGUGGGAAGAAGGCCUUCGGGUUGUAAACCACUUUUGUCAGGGAAGAAACGGUCUGAACUAAUACUUUGGACUAAUGACGGUACCUGAAGAAUAAGCACCGGCUAACUACGUGCCAGCAGCCGCGGUAAUACGUAGGGUGCAAGCGUUAAUCGGAAUUACUGGGCGUAAAGCGUGCGCAGGCGGCUUUGCAAGACAGAUGUGAAAUCCCCGGGCUCAACCUGGGAACUGCAUUUGUGACUGCAUGGCUAGAGUACGGUAGAGGGGGAUGGAAUUCCGCGUGUAGCAGUGAAAUGCGUAGAUAUGCGGAGGAACACCGAUGCCGAAGGCAAUCCCCUGGACCUGUACUGACGCUCAUGCACGAAAGCGUGGGGAGCAAACAGGAUUAGAUACCCUGGUAGUCCACGCCCUAAACGAUGUCAACUGGUUNUUGGGAGGGUUUCUUCUCAGUAACGAAGCUAACGCGUGAAGUUGACCGCCUGGGGAAGUCGGCCGNAGUGAACGUUAAGAUGACG
Molecule: ribosomal RNA, 577 nt
Filed under: uncultured bacterium
Lineage: Bacteria
Description: bacterial SSU rRNA
Rfam family: Bacterial small subunit ribosomal RNA
Source: RNAcentral